UUAGUGAGUAGUUUAAAGAACAAAACGAUAGGUUGUGGUUCUAUAGAUAGGUUAGUCUCUCAUUAG
Molecule: transfer RNA, 66 nt
Filed under: Anemina euscaphys
Lineage: Eukaryota; Metazoa; Mollusca; Bivalvia; Unionida; Unionidae
Description: Anodonta euscaphys tRNA-His
Source: RNAcentral